Long non-coding RNA from Vicia villosa (hairy vetch), 349 nucleotides. RefSeq lists it as uncharacterized. The record is from RefSeq and is a predicted model, not a curated record. Lineage: Eukaryota; Viridiplantae; Streptophyta; Magnoliopsida; Fabales; Fabaceae. The transcript has 3 exons.
CUUCCCAUAAUGUUACCAACGAAGGCAUGGCAUUGGUGAAGCACGCCGAAGAUGCUGCAAGUAACAAAAAGUACAUGUUCAACAAGUUAGAGCUUCAUGUACUCAUUUUAGGGAUUGACAAGGCUGGCAAAACGACUUUGCUUGAGAAGAUGAAGUCGGUGUACACGAAUGUAGAAGGUCUUCCUCCGGAUUGAAUUGUGGAAAGCAAUUGCUUCUCCAGGGCGUGGUAUUUUGGCCAUGGAUGAAUCCAAUGCUACAUGUGGAAAGCGGUUGGAUUCAAUUGGACUAGAGAACACCGAAGCUAACCGUCAAGCAUGGCUUGGUUAAAAUAUAAUUUUUAUGUGUAUGA